RNAcentral lists this long non-coding RNA (2531 nucleotides) under Homo sapiens (human). Its description in RNAcentral is "HSALNT0302639". Lineage: Eukaryota; Metazoa; Chordata; Mammalia; Primates; Hominidae. The record is from RNAcentral.
GGUUUGACUACAUAAAAAUGUAAUAAUUUUUGAAUGGAAAAAACAUCCUUGGAGAAAAUAACCUAGAAAAACUAUUAGCAGCAACUAUUUCAGAGACAUUGCAUCUUCAUGGUCAAAGAAUUCAUAUAAGUUGACACCUAGAAUGCUAAAAUCCUAAUAGAAAAGUGGACCAAGUACAGAUUAGAAAAGUUACAAGAUAAUUUUUAACAUAUUAAAAAGUUCAAUUUAACUAGGAAUUAGAUAUGUACCCAUAAACACACCAAUGAUUUAAAUGAAGUUGUUGAGAUUUUGUUGAAUAUCCUUCCAGUCUGUGUUAUCUAUCCUAUCUGUACCUAUUGCUUGAUCUGUCCAUCUAUGUACUUACUUUGUAUGUCACUCUUCAUCCAUUUAGCUAUCCAUCCAUUUACACAUUUUUUUUGAAAAGAGAUCAUAAUGUAUACUUUUUUUUGUUUUUUCCGUUUAACGUAUUUUGAACUUCUCAUAUCAUUGUACGUUCAUUACGUUCAAAUCUUUGCAUCUUGUUACACUGCAUGGAUGUACCGUAGCUUAUUCAAAUGAGCUGUCUUACUGGGCACUUAUGUUGCUUACACUUUUUUAACAGUUACAUAUUGAACAUCAUCACACUGAUCAGAUUAUUUCUAAAGGUAAAUUUGGAAAGGUUGGUUUUGCUGUUUAAAAAGUGUGCAAAUGUUUCAGACUUUUGCUGCAUAUUGCUAAAUUAUUCACCUUUCUACCAGUAAUACAUCAGAGUAAGCACUCGCAAAUUCUUGUAAACACUGGCUAGUAUAGUUAGAAUUUUAUGUCAGUAAAAAUGAUUGGCAAUAUCUUACUUUUUUACUUCGCUUUUUUUGAUUAUUAAAGUGACAAACAUUAUUUUGUGGUUUUUGGUCAUUUUUUGGUGAAAUUCCUAAUCAUAUCACUUCUCCCAAUUUUUCCUUUGAUAUAUUAAUCUUUUCAUUAUUUAUAAAGGUUACAUUUAUAUUUAGGUAAAUAUGCCUUUGAAUUAUGUAGAUUUUUUUAUAGAGAGAAAUUUUUUAAAAUCUUUAAUUAACAAACUUACCAGCUUUGUGCUUCAUGGUUUCUACUUUCAGUGUUAUAAUUAUAAACCCCUACUGGAAACCAAGAUUAUAUUAACUAGAAGGAGAAUAUUUUGAUUCAUCUAUUCCAUUUUCCUCCAGGUUUAUAGUUGGAUCUUUCAUUAUAGAAUGUAUGAUCAAUGGGAUUUUUUAACAUAGAGCCUUAGAGGAAAACUCAGGACCACCUGGUUUUUAAUUAAAAUGAAUUCUUUUAGAAGAUUAUAUUGUGAAUAUAGCUUCCUAGUGACUUCCUUCUUAGUAUUCAAGUUGGGCUCACUGGAAGGACUGAAUUGUAUUAAGAUCUUAGGUUAGCAUAAUUAUUUUUAAUGUUAAUGUUUUUAUAUAUAGUGACCGAGUUAUUCUGGAUUUGACUAAGUAACAAUAUACUACUUUAGUAACUCACUUGAGUUUUGUUUUGUGAGGAAAUUUUAUUACUCAACAUUCAUAUCUUAGAAGGUCAAAUUAUUCUAGAAGAUACUGCUUUGAUUUUAGAGGAACAGGUUUAUUGAUCUGGUGAGAAAAUCACUGGUGAGUGAAUCCCAAGCAUUCACUAAAUUAGUAAAUUUAAAACAUGAUAACUGCUAUGGAUUGAAAGGUGAUCCUUGUUUUGAAGGAAUUGAAAAGGAAAAGUAAUCAAUACGUUUGUGAGAAGGUAUAUCAGGAUGCCUGGCUUGGCUUUUUCUAAACCACAUAACACUUCCCACUCUAUUCUACUGGCAUUGAGUGUAUUAUUAGUCGCAUGUGUGUUUGCAUUGGAAAGACAGUGAGUAUCAAUGCUCUAUCACCAAGGACAGUGUGUUUUAAUCACUUGGAUCUUCUUAAUAAAAAAUACAGAUUUUGAAUUUGUGGGUUUUGACUGGACCUGAGAUUCUGCAUUCCUAUUAAGUCUCCAGAUAAAAAGCACUGUGCUGGUUCAUAGACUCCUCCUUGAGUAGAAAGUGUGGAAAACUCUUGUAUUGACACUUUUACUUCUCCAUAAAUAAAGUAAUAGGUAAAACACAUGAAAUAGUAAAAUUGCAAUACAGUAAAAACAUUAAACAUCUUGUAAGUAUCAAGUAAAGCAAAUGCUUUUCUCAUGUUAAUGUUUCUUUGGUUACAGAAAGACCCAAGCUGAGAACCUAGAAGGGUAGAAGGAAAAUAUAUUUUUCCUCUUUUAUUAUGAAAGAAAACUGUCCACUCAGAAUGAAGUAAUAUGAAGAAAACUGAUGAUAAAUAUGUGCUGACAGAAUUAACUACCAACACUCUUACCAAAGAGAAUUUUAAAAUGAGUCCUUCAGGAAGAAAAGCAAUCCCAUUUUGAAAGUCUAAGAUUAAAAAAAAAAGGGUCUCCCUCUGCCACCUGGGAUGCAGUGCAGUGGCCUGACCACAGGUAAUUGCAGCCUCCUCAUCGCAGGCUCAAGCGAUCCUCCCACCUCAGCUUCCCAAAUAGCUGGGACUACAGACACACACCAUCAC